CAAAACAUCUGAGCUUCAUGAAUGGGCCCCCAAACCCAAACAUCUUUCCUGUCAGUGUUUUUGAAAUGGAAAAAAGUAGACUGUGUAUGCUACUGAAGUAAAUUCAAAUUCUUCUAUUUGUGUUCUUCCCCAGACAUAUGUUGUAAGGACUUUUUUUGUUCACCUUUAAUUCUGAAUGACUGAGAACACUGCUCCCGACAUCUCUAGACUGAAAUUAUUUGAGAACACUGAAAUGCCUAAGGAAAAAGAGCAACACCAUGGACCAGCAUCCAAUAUUGGAACUAAGCCACAUCCAUUUUUCCACAGAAGACCUCAGUUUCAAUGCAAAUCGUUCCUGGAGGAAAAAUGUUCUGUUGAAAAAAGUGACCAACUCUCAUAAUUAUGGUUGCAAAUCCAAACACACCCAGAUGUGCCCUUGUUGUCUUUGGGAUGUCUGAGUUUCUCUGGCAUCUUCAUAUACAGCCACGGCACCUCGAACGGAAGAGGCGAAGCAAGAAUAUAUGUAGGGGGUUUCUCUGCUUGGCCCUGUGAGAAUUCCUCUUCCCUCCACCCUCAAAAGACUGCUAUCCCUCUCAAUUCCAUGCUCUUUACCACCUCACCCCCAGUUUACCCUCUUGUCAUUUCCUCUUGCCCUCUUCCCGCCGUAUCACGUUUCCAAUUCAGAAUCUGUAGAUCCACAAUUGUUUAAAAAGCAGCUCAAACUUCCAACUUAUAAACAUCGCUUCCUCUGUCUCCUGAAUUUAUUUUAAUAGCUGAUAUUUGAGCCCAGGGGAUUGUUUUAACUAACACUGUAUAGUCAGAAGGAAUCACUCUCCUCCAGGCUACCUCUGGGUCAACAGCAUAAGGCAAGACCCCCUCACAUUUCAUUACCCAGGGAUCAGAUCCCUUUUCCCAAUCCAUCACUCUGAAGCUCAUUCCUCCUAUUCCUCUCAGAUUUGCCUUCAUGAUUCAUGCGGUGCCAAAUCAACAGUAUAUUUGCUUUUUUCUCAGUUCAUUGUUUUUAUUUGCUUACAUGUUCCCUGUCAUAGUUCAACUCAUAAAUCAAGGCCGGUUUAUUUUUUACAAACCCGUUGAAAGUUUGAGCCAGUUUCCACUGUUAUGAAAGACUCCCAAUACUACACGUCCUCUAACAGGUGGAAAAUGUCUGUGGAGGCUGUUUGGAUGGGAACGAUUUUCUAACUUAAAGACAAAGUAGUGUUUAUUUAUGGCUUAAUCUAAUUCCACAACAAUGUAACAGUUCACUGCACUGAAUUAUCUCCUCAUGCUGCUAUCCCACUCACAUAUGGCUUUACUAUUUAAAUAAAAAGUGUAAUAUUGAAACAACUUCUAGCUAUUAAGCUCGUGUAACUGAUUACAGUGAAACAAUGUUCCUGAGAUAUUCUGACAGACCAUUUUCCCUUAAGACAACCACUAAGUGUCCGUCCUAACUAAAUUUGGCGUUAAAAAAGCAAGCAAACAAAACCCACAACACGCUCUUCCCCUCCAACCAUUUUACUUAACCUUUACUUUUUUAGGCUCAGAUCAAGAGCUGUUGAUUUCCCAGGUUAUCAGUGGAACACAAACACCUCUUUCCUGGUGAUCUAGACAUGGAGAAAGAGAGAACCCCCCUGCAAAGCUGAGUUUUGUGCACAUUGCGGCGGUUCCUGCUGGGAACAAGGCUCACCGAUCCCCCCAGAUACAACAGAGAGGAAUUGCCUCUGAAGGUCCAUCCUGCCUCAACCCCAC
RNAcentral lists this long non-coding RNA (1725 nucleotides) under Corvus moneduloides (New Caledonian crow). Its description in RNAcentral is "lncRNA (ENSCMUG00000018075.1)". The record is from RNAcentral. Lineage: Eukaryota; Metazoa; Chordata; Aves; Passeriformes; Corvidae.